This 73-nucleotide transfer RNA is filed under the name Chromera velia. RNAcentral's name for it is "tRNA-Ala". It matches the Rfam family "tRNA". Rfam says of the family: Transfer RNA (tRNA) molecules are approximately 80 nucleotides in length. Their secondary structure includes four short double-helical elements and three loops (D, anti-codon, and T loops). The record is from RNAcentral. Lineage: Eukaryota; Chromeraceae.
GGGAGUAUAGCUUAGUUGGUAGAGUAUAGCUUUUGCAAAGCUAUGGUCCGGAGUUCAAAUCUCCGUGCUUCCA